GACAAACGCUGGCGGCGUGCCUAACACAUGCAAGUCGAACGGGCGAAGAGGGGAGCUUGCUUUCCUCAGAGCUAGUGGCGGACGGGUGAGUAACGCGUGAGUAACCUGCCUUGGAGAGGGGAAUAACACAAAGAAAUUUGUGCUAAUACCGCAUAUGGUGGCAGUACCGCAUGGUACAGCCAUGAAAGAUUUAUCGCUCCAAGAUGGACUCGCGUCCGAUUAGCCAGUUGGCGGGGUAACGGCCCACCAAAGCAAACGAUCGGUAGCCGGACUGAGAGGUUGAACGGCCACAUUGGGACUGAGACACGGCCCAG
Molecule: ribosomal RNA, 314 nt
Filed under: uncultured bacterium
Lineage: Bacteria
Description: bacterial SSU rRNA
Rfam family: Bacterial small subunit ribosomal RNA
Source: RNAcentral